RNAcentral lists this ribosomal RNA (161 nucleotides) under Arisaema angustatum. Its description in RNAcentral is "5.8S ribosomal RNA". It matches the Rfam family "5.8S ribosomal RNA". Rfam says of the family: 5.8S ribosomal RNA (5.8S rRNA) is a component of the large subunit of the eukaryotic ribosome. It is transcribed by RNA polymerase I as part of the 45S precursor that also contains 18S and 28S rRNA. Lineage: Eukaryota; Viridiplantae; Streptophyta; Magnoliopsida; Alismatales; Araceae. The record is from RNAcentral.
AAUGACUCCCGGCAACGGAUAUCUAGGCUCUCGCAUCGAUGAAGAACGUAGCGAAAUGUGAUACGUGGUGUGAAUUGCAGAAUCCCGUGAACCAUCGAAUCUUUGAACGCAAGUUGCGCCCGAGGCCUCUAGGUCGAGGGCACGCCUGCCUGGCGUCACGC